RNAcentral lists this ribosomal RNA (301 nucleotides) under uncultured bacterium. RNAcentral describes it as "partial 16S ribosomal RNA". It matches the Rfam family "Bacterial small subunit ribosomal RNA", at positions 509 to 807 of the family's 1533-position model. The record is from RNAcentral.
CAGCAGCAACGGGAAUACAGAGGGUGCGAGCGUUAAUCGGAUUUACUGGGCGUAAAGCGUGCGUAGGCGGCUUCUUAAGUCGGAUGUGAAAUCCCUGAGCUUAACUUAGGAAUUGCAUUCGAUACUGGGAAGCUAGAGUAUGGGAGAGGAUGGUAGAAUUCCAGGUGUAGCGGUGAAAUGCGUAGAGAUCUGGAGGAAUACCGAUGGCGAAGGCAGCCAUCUGGCCUAAUACUGACGCUGAGGUACGAAAGCAUGGGGAGCAAACAGGAUUAGAUACCCCCGUAGUCCCUGUCUCUUAUAC